Molecule: long non-coding RNA, 637 nt
Filed under: Mus caroli (Ryukyu mouse)
Lineage: Eukaryota; Metazoa; Chordata; Mammalia; Rodentia; Muridae
Description: predicted gene 12631 (MGP_CAROLIEiJ_G0003520.1)
Source: RNAcentral
CGGCCCGCAGCGCCACACUGGAACGCCUCGCUUAAAGUAACAGGCUCCCGGGUGACAACCCCUCGCAGAAGUGUUCUAGAGUCGCUCUUCUACAAAUGCUCCAGCUCCGAUUGUAGUUUGUCUCAGUGGCCACGGGUAGAAUAUCAAGCCAUACGUGAAGAAAAAAAUGAAGAAGAAGAAGAAGAAGAAGAAAAAAAAAAAGAGUUACUAGCUUCCUCUAGAAACACAGACAACCUUUAAAAAGGAAACGGAUAAGAUCUAGACGAUAUACGAAAAUGAAAGAUGGGUGUGACUUUGUUUCGUUAAAGUUCUUGUACCUCUCUGGCUCUUAACUCCUUUUUUGAACUGGUUUGGGGUGGUGGCUGUUUUCCAGACUAUCUUUUGUUCACCAUCUUUUUUUCUCCAGAUUGCCAACUUCUUUUCUCCCUGUGUUUUUUGUCUCUCUUCCUCUUUCUGAUUCAACUUUAUUGCUUUCUUCUUUUCCUCUCGCCGGGAGACCAUGAAAGCACAACUCGGCCCUUGCAUUGAAGACUUGAGAAUAACGGGAAGGAGGUUGCCUGGAGUGUCCCAGGUUCUCCAUGACCACGUUCAGUUUUUCCCGCUGCUCACAAAGUAGAUGAUGGGGAUUAGACAGGAC